AGAGUUUGAUCAUGGCUCAGAUUGAACGCUGGCGGCAGGCCUAACACAUGCAAGUCGAGCGGUAGCACAGAGAGCUUGCUCUCGGGUGACGAGCGGCGGACGGGUGAGUAAUGUCUGGGAAACUGCCUGAUGGAGGGGGAUAACUACUGGAAACGGUAGCUAAUACCGCAUAACGUCGCAAGACCAAAGUGGGGGACCUUCGGGCCUCAUGCCAUCAGAUGUGCCCAGAUGGGAUUAGCUAGUAGGUGGGGUAAUGGCUCACCUAGGCGACGAUCCCUAGCUGGUCUGAGAGGAUGACCAGCCACACUGGAACUGAGACACGGUCCAGACUCCUACGGGAGGCAGCAGUGGGGAAUAUUGCACAAUGGGCGCAAGCCUGAUGCAGCCAUGCCGCGUGUGUGAAGAAGGCCUUCGGGUUGUAAAGCACUUUCAGCGGGGAGGAAGGCGUUAAGGUUAAUAACCUUGGCGAUUGACGUUACCCGCAGAAGAAGCACCGGCUAACUCCGUGCCAGCAGCCGCGGUAAUACGGAGGGUGCAAGCGUUAAUCGGAAUUACUGGGCGUAAAGCGCACGCAGGCGGUCUGUCAAGUCGGAUGUGAAAUCCCCGGGCUCAACCUGGGAACUGCAUUCGAAACUGGCAGGCUAGAGUCUUGUAGAGGGGGGUAGAAUUCCAGGUGUAGCGGUGAAAUGCGUAGAGAUCUGGAGGAAUACCGGUGGCGAAGGCGGCCCCCUGGACAAAGACUGACGCUCAGGUGCGAAAGCGUGGGGAGCAAACAGGAUUAGAUACCCUGGUAGUCCACGCCGUAAACGAUGUCGAUUUGGAGGUUGUGCCCUUGAGGCGUGGCUUCCGGAGCUAACGCGUUAAAUCGACCGCCUGGGGAGUACGGCCGCAAGGUUAAAACUCAAAGGAAUUGACGG
Molecule: ribosomal RNA, 917 nt
Filed under: uncultured bacterium
Lineage: Bacteria
Description: bacterial SSU rRNA
Rfam family: Bacterial small subunit ribosomal RNA
Source: RNAcentral